AGGCGGAUGAAAAACUGUUUUUAGCUGAGAUCACCCAGAUGGCAAAAAGGAAGGAAACAAAGUGACAAUUUUGACCUUAGAAAGCCACAUGGUAGUAAGGAAAGUCAACCUGAGCUGAACUCCCAUUUCCCCUUUGAUGGCUCCAUAAAUGUUAAAUUACUUUGCAAAUAUUUUCAAAUGAGUGGUUUUGCAAGUAGGAGUGAUGGAGAAAGAAAGGGGGAGAAAGGUUAACAGCCACACAUAAAACAACCAGCCCCUACAGUCUAUGGCCAAUUUUUACAGCUGGGUUUUUAUAAACUCCUUGAAGAGCUGGGCAAGGGACGAGUUUAUGAUUGUUGCCAUGGCAGUCUUGUAAUUUUUGCCAAAAUAUUGUGGCACUGGAGCAGAUGUACUCUGGGGAGGCGGGCAGAGCGAUUGGGACACACAUGAAGGAAUUUAAGACCCUCUCAUUAAAUAUCUCGGCAAAGAAUGUACCACGGAACCAUCGCUGGAUCUAAUUAGCUGUAGAGUGAAAGAAGCCAUAACAAGCUUGUUUGUUUGAGCAGGGACAAAAUCUGUAACUCUUAUCUCGGGCCAGGCAUCGUGCAAGGCACCACGUUCUCACCAAUCAACAGGACAGAUGUGUCCUUGUCUUCAUAGGGCCCUUUUGGGACCCAGAACAAUGGCAUCUCUUCAGAGCAAAGCUCCGAGGUGAGCAGGGGGUAUUCUUAGUCUACUAACCAGAAGGACGAUUAAAUGAUUUGUCACCGUUGCAACAAAUCGGAGUGACAGAAAGUCUGGUCGAUUGGCGGAAGAUAACUGGCUAUUGUAGUACGUAUAGACAUAGUGAGUAAUUCUCUGAUUUCUAUGCUUAAUAGUUUCUGAUUUUACCAUGAGGUAGAUUCUCCAUAGUAUCUUUCAUAUAAAUUCCUCAUACAUACUUUUAUAUAAUAUUAAAGACAUAUUUGACUUUGCUUUCAGGAUUUGUACUAAUGGUAUAACUUCACAUACUAUCAAAAGUGAGUAUUUAGGGGGCACCUGGGUGGCUCAGUCGGUUAAGCGUUUGACUUCGGCUCAGGUCGUGAUCUUGCGGUUCACGAGCUCGAGCCCUGCGUCGGGUUCUCUGCUGUCAGCACAAAGCCUUCUUGGGGUCCUCUGUUCCCAUCUCUCUCUGCCCUUCUGCCUUUUGCGCUCUCCUUCUCUCAAAAAUAAAUAAGUGUUUAAAAAGAAAAGCAUUUAGUGUGGCUUGGGUGAUGUGAAUGGCAAAUAUCUCCUAUUCACCCUGAACAUAGCAGGAAAGAGAGAGGAAAUUCAACCGACUUUGACAAAGUCACAGAAUAGUAAACACCCAAGAGGGGCCUGAGUAUUGUUAAUAUGAAAAAAAAAACCAAACAACAACAUGAGCCCACAUUUAGCCAUAUUAUCACACUAGGCACAGACAUCCUUCCAAGCCUAGGUACAGGCCAGCAUAAGCCAAGGAACGCUAGCUUUAGCAGAAAGCUCUGGGCAGUUCUAGUCGCAUUGGUAUCUACUGAAGAUACCGAAGGAGCUCCAUUCAGCAGUGGGUUUAGAGGGAAUGACCAAAGACUAAGCAUAAGCCUGGGUAAAUAUUGUAGCCUCUACCAGCUGCCCUUCCCUGGCUGACCUUGGAGCUUAAGGGCCUGACAACUGUGAACUUUAGCAGUUGUGGAAAUAAGAUACUGGAGUUUCCUUACUGCUACCCCAACAGCUCAUGCGAUUCACCCAGUUGAAAUGUGGUUACUGAAGGCCUGUUCUGCAAUAGGCAUUGUACAGGUGUUAAGGAUGCAGUCCUGGGCAAGACACUGUCCUUGUGUAGUUCAGUGAAUCGGUGGUGUGGAGUAUGAGCUGGUGGUCUGGAUAGGUCAGUAAACUGAUUUUUUCGACUGCUUUGAGUUGAGUUAUCCUUGCCCAGGUCCCGCUGAUGAUCUCUGUCAUCCAGGCAGACAUUAGGACAAGGACCUCUACUCCAAGGUCGGGUGUGGCUGACACAAAGGGGAAAGUGUCUUGGAGGUCCGCUUACCUAGCAUUCUGCGUGUGCAGGAGGUCACAGAAGGAUGUGUCACAGUUCCCAACACCUCCUCUGUCCUUGGUGGGUCUGUAUUACUCGCAUAGCAGCUAUUCAACACUGCUAAAUGGAUGUGCCCAAAUAGAAAAUGGUAUCUACAUUCCAGCUUCCCUAACUGUUCAAAACCAAGCACUUCUCGGGAGCCAUCCCCUUCUGCAAAGCGGCGUAUAUAAACCCGCUAACAUACAGGUGCAUGUCCGAAAGAGACAUUUGAAAGAACAACAGCAGGGGACAUGGGGCUCAUGGCACAAUGGCAUAUAUUUUCAUGGGAUUCAUGGUAGAUUGCCUUGUAAAUUCUCAAA
This is a long non-coding RNA of Acinonyx jubatus (cheetah), 2367 nucleotides long. RefSeq lists it as uncharacterized. Lineage: Eukaryota; Metazoa; Chordata; Mammalia; Carnivora; Felidae. The transcript is spliced from 3 exons. The record is from RefSeq and is a predicted model, not a curated record.